UUACUGAUAGGUUAUUUAAACUGGCAAAUUGUGGUUUUGUUGAUUACUAUUUUGUAUCAGUAAA
Molecule: transfer RNA, 64 nt
Filed under: Diphyllobothrium balaenopterae (whale tapeworm)
Lineage: Eukaryota; Metazoa; Platyhelminthes; Cestoda; Diphyllobothriidea; Diphyllobothriidae
Description: tRNA-His
Source: RNAcentral